GACGAACGCUGGCGGCGUGCUUAACACAUGCAAGUCGAACGGUAAGGCCCUUCGGGUACGACGAGUGGCGAACGGGUGAGUAACGCGUGAGUAACCUGCCCUUCACUCUGGGAUAACAGUUGGAAACGGCUGCUAAUACCGGAUAUUCAGCUCCUGUCGCAUGGUGGGGGUUGGAAAGUUUUGGUGGUGGAGGAUGGGCUCGCGUCCUAUCAGCUUGUUGGUGGGGUGAUGGCCUACCAAGGCGUCGACGGGUAGCCGGCCUGAGAGGGCGACCGGCCACAUUGGGACUGAGAUACGGCCCAAACUCCUACGGGAGGCAGCAGUGGGGAAUAUUGCACAAUGGGGGCAACCCUGAUCCAGCCAUGCCGCGUGAGUGAGGAAGGCCUUCGGGUCGUAAAGCUCUGUCAGAUGGGAAGAAAUGGAUGGGGGCGUAAUAUCGCCCAUCCUUGACGGUACCAUCAGAGGAAGCACCGGCUAACUCCGUGCCAGCAGCCGGGUAAACUAGUCUACG
RNAcentral lists this ribosomal RNA (511 nucleotides) under uncultured bacterium. RNAcentral describes it as "bacterial SSU rRNA". It matches the Rfam family "Bacterial small subunit ribosomal RNA", at positions 28 to 536 of the family's 1533-position model. The record is from RNAcentral.